GCGUCAGUAGCGCAGCUGGAUAGAGUACCUGGCUACGAACCAGGCGGUCGGAGGUUCGAAUCCUCCAGGACGCGCCA
Molecule: transfer RNA, 77 nt
Filed under: Vibrio parahaemolyticus
Lineage: Bacteria; Pseudomonadati; Pseudomonadota; Gammaproteobacteria; Vibrionales; Vibrionaceae
Description: tRNA-Arg
Rfam family: tRNA
About the family: Transfer RNA (tRNA) molecules are approximately 80 nucleotides in length. Their secondary structure includes four short double-helical elements and three loops (D, anti-codon, and T loops).
Source: RNAcentral